This 3337-nucleotide long non-coding RNA is filed under the name Sarcophilus harrisii (Tasmanian devil). RNAcentral describes it as "lncRNA (ENSSHAG00000029110.1)". Lineage: Eukaryota; Metazoa; Chordata; Mammalia; Dasyuromorphia; Dasyuridae. The record is from RNAcentral.
AAUUCAGAGUUAAAUAUAAGAUUGUGAUUUAACUUUUAAAAUUGAAAAAUUUGAAACAUUUUGUUUGGAAUUUUUAUAGCUGCAGGAAUUCCAAGAAAAGAACAAACACUUACAGCAGUGUAUUAAUGAAUUAGAAGAUUAUAUACAAAAGCAUAAAAUGAAAUGUGUUACAUUGGAAGAUUCAGUAAAAAAGCAAAUGGAUGAAAAAGAAAAAAAAAGGGAAAAUAAUUUCGAUUGUACUUUAACACAGAGAGAAGAAAAAGAUAAUUUUAAUGACGAAAUGGAGUAUCAACUUCAAGGACUGAAAACUGAACUCUGCAAAAUGAAAAUCCUAAAUGAAAAAUAUGUGGGAGCCCUAGAGAUACAAGAUAUGGAGUCAAGAUGGAGGAGAGGAGACAUGUCUUUAUCUGAGCUCCUGCGGGAGCCCCUCAGAACAACAACAGAUCAAACUGCUGCAGUGGCUUGGCAGGAAAUAAUCGAUGAGGAUUUUGGAUGAUAACAAAUGAAAAACAAAAGAAAUUUGACAAUACUUCUGAAAAGGUCCAGAGAGAGAUUCAACAGUAGAAUUGCCAGUUCCUCAUUUUCAAUGAGCUAGCCACCUACUUAAUUUUAAAACUUCCCAUUGAUGGGGUUAAAAUAGUUUUUUUGUUUUAAAGUUGUUUAAUAAGGAGUAAUUAAAUCAUCAUUUAUUAAUGUAUUAAUAAAUUCAUCAGCAGAGAAAUCUCUUAAAUUGGAUUGAAUAGGAACUUUCAGUGGCUCACAGUGUCUCAAGGAACUCAGGAUUAAGAUCAAUCCCUUGAUGGGUAGAGUUUAGGGAAGAGAUUCCCCACUUCAUUGUUCUGCCCUAACACCUUCAAAGAACAAUAGCUUGGAGUAGAGCCACCAGCCUUAGGGAGAGAGAUUUCCUACCACAAUAGUAGGCAGUCCAGGCAUGUGAUCAUUCUGGGAGCAAUCAUACCUUAUUCUGAUUGAAGAAGACUCAUUUUAGUUUUACAUAGAUGAGGAAAGGAAAAGACUAUUAUUUACUAUGGUGGUCAGUUAAUUGAAAAUCUGAGCUAAAUUUUCAGGAAGUUUAAAAUUUGCUUAAUGUUUCCUUAUUUAAAAAAUCUUUCUGUCCUUGUUGACCAGUUUUGGAAACUAGAUAUUAAGCACAGACAUUAAGAAUAGGAAGUCCUGGAGAUUUUGUCAAAAUAAAUCCCUAAAUACUGAAGCUAAGCUGUAGGAAAGAUAUUUAUGUAGGCAGGUCUCAGGAAACUAGGAAGAUGCCUCCUUUACUUUGAUAUUCAAAAGAGGUAAUAUCCAGUACCCUCCUUUGGGGAACUUCUUAGAAAGUAUAACUUAUUAUAAAUAUUAUAAAGUAUAAUAAGUUAAAGUCUGUACUUUAAGCAUAAAUGAAGAGUAAAAGAUUUUGGAAUUUCAAAAAGUAAAUUUCUAAGAGCAUCUUAAUGCCAAUGAAAUAGAAAAGAUUUAGGAAUCUCCUAUCUCCCUGAGAACACACAAGUGUGAAGUAUUUAACACAGUGCUUACCUUGUAUAAAGAAUGAGCACUUUACUAUUGAAACUUUAUGGGAAUCCACUUAAGGAAAAAUGCUAUUGCAUUUAUAGGUUUUUUCUUUUCUAAAUGGCAUGGAAUGUUAACAAAAUUGAAAUAUACAUACAUACACACACAUAAUAUGAAACAUUUUAAAUUAUUUCUAAAAACAGACUUAAGCAACUUUCAAGAUCUAUAAACUACUGUGAUUAGCAUGAAAAGUCAAGAGGAUAAUUAAAUGAUUUUCUAUGAUUUGAUGUUUGGUGAUGUUUUAGAUGCAAUAAAGCUAAGAAACUGUUGCAGCAAAUUCUUCCUCUUUUCAGUGUAAAUAGUGUUAUUUUCUUUCACAACAUGAAUUUUGUAGAAAUGUUUUCCAUAACUUCAUGUGUGGAUUCUUUAUAGGAGUUGGGGGAGUAGAUAAGGGAGACAACCUGGUACUCAAAAAUGUUAAAAACAAAGGCAAAAAAGUGUUUUAAAUGAAACUGGGGGAAAAUCUUUUUAAAUGUAUUUAAAAACAACUGAUUAAAAUUUCUAAGAAUAACUGAUAAGUAUUUCUCAGAGAAAAAAUAUCCUAACAGUCAUAUGAAACACAUUCCAAUUCUUUAGUUAUUUGAGAAAUGCAAAUUAAAAUAGCUCUGAGAUUGAUUGUCAAAAAGAAAAAAAAUGCUUGAAGGAAAACACUUGAAAAAACAGGUAUACACUGUUUAAUAAGUACACAGUAAUACACUGCUCAUGUUGUUGUGAGCUGCCCUAGCCAUUCUGGAUGGCACUUUGAGAAAUAUAUUUCAUUUUCUUGAAUCAUGUGUAUCUUUGACUUAGUGAUAAUUCUUAGAAGCCUACAUGUGAAGAGAUCAAAGAAAAGGAUCCAUACAUAUAAAACAUUUAGAAAUAUUUUUUGGAAGGUUGGGGCAAUGAAAUCUUGAAAUUUGGAUAAUAGCUGACAAACAACGGUAUGUAAAUAUAGCAGAAUACUUCUCUGCCAUAAGAAGUAAUAGAAGAUGUUCUCAGAGGAACUUGGGAAGAUUGGUAUGAACUUAUAUAAGGACAAAUAAUUUUAAUGCACUUAAUAUGAAGAAUUCAACAACCAGCCAUGAUUCCUGUGUAUAAGUAACAAUCUUGACAAGAUAAUUAAAGAUAGGUAGGUAAUUAAAGAUUAGAAAAAUAUGAACUUUAGAUUACUGAUUAAGAAUGAAGAGUUAUCUAUGGAAAUAACAUGGGGGCUUAACUCUAUAGCAGAGUUUAUAAGAAUUUUAGUUCCCUGGUUUUAAGGGUGACAAUCUGGUUCAUUCUCAUGAGGGAGUAAGUAAAACAAGUGGAAGGUGAAAUAGCCUGCUGAGAAAAUGUUUUCCCUAGCAUUGGCUGUCGUUUGCCAUGGGACUUUCCUAAGGAUAAUAUUCAACUCAGUUUUCCCCAUUGCUACAGAUUUUUGAGGAUCCCAGCAUCUAAGUUAUCAUGACUUAGCAAAAUGUAAACCGACCAUGCAAUUUUGCUUGAAAGAAAUGGCAUCUUAGUUUAAUUUGUUUCAUUGCAUCUUAUGUAAUCAGUUGUGUAACAAAGCUGCUUUGAAUGACAUGCAUCUUUACAAUGACAGAUUGAUCUCCUUUUAUUGGUUUUGCUAAUUGUAUAUGCUUUGCUUUAAAAAAAUCUAUAAAGCUCAUGAACCUCGACUUUUCUUUAUUGCAAAUCCAUUUUUACAACAAAAAGAAUACAUUUUUGGCCAUAGAUAAUAUGAUUUGUUUAAUUGGUUUACAAUUUGAUUCAUUGAUUUUGUUUUUCUUUCAAAUACGGGGAACUGCUGGAAGAGAAA